CGCGUAGGCGGUCUUGUCAGUCAGAUGUGAAAGCCCGGGGCUCAACCCCGGACGUGCAUUUGAAACAGCAAGACUUGAGUACGGGAGAGGAAAGCGGAAUUCCUGGUGUAGAGGUGAAAUUCGUAGAUAUCAGGAGGAACACCGAUGGCGAAGGCAGCUUUCUGGACCGAUACUGACGCUGAGGCGCGAAGGCGUGGGUAGCGAACAGGAUUAGAUACCCUGGUAGUCC
Molecule: ribosomal RNA, 229 nt
Filed under: uncultured bacterium
Lineage: Bacteria
Description: partial 16S ribosomal RNA
Rfam family: Bacterial small subunit ribosomal RNA
Source: RNAcentral